CUGAGGCGGGUGGAUCACCUGAGGUCAGGAGUUUGAGACCAGCCUGGCCAACAAGGUGAAACCCCGUCUCUACUAAAAAUACAAAAAAUUAGCCGGGCGCGGUGGCGGGCGCCUGUAGUCCCAGCUACUCGGGAGGCUGAGGCAGGAGAAUGGCGUGAACCCGGGAGGCGGAGCUUGCAGUGAGCCGAGAUUGCGCCACUGCAGUCCGCAGUCCGGCCUGGGCGACAGAGCGAGACUCCGUCUCAAAAAAAAAAAAAAAAAAAAGAAAACGAAAACGGAUCUUAAGUAAGAGAAUGUGGAGCCACCAGGGGAAAGAACAAUUGCAGGGAAAGAGGCCUGAUUAUAUUCCAGACCCUGGUCCCAGCCAUUCCUUAUCUGCUUACCUAAAUUAAUUCAAAUUGAGUUUCACCAUCAUACUGGGACCCCCACCUGAUGUGGUUUCGUUGCCCAUUUUUCAAAUAUGUAUUAUUUGUGGCUUACAUUAACAUCUUAGAUUUCACUCUGACUUCCUCACCAGUCAGUCUUAAUCUGCUAUAAUAUGGCCAUCACUCCAUAUGGUUGAAACUGUUGGUAUCCAAAUUACAAGUGACUUAAUGUCUAAAUCCACUGGAUGCAUUCUACUUGUUAAUAUAUUUGACACACAUAAACACUCACACUGACACACAUAAGUACUUCUUAAAACUCUCUCCUCCAUGGGUUGGAACUAUAGUCUCUUGGACUUUUCUUUCCCUACUCUAACCCGUCUUCUCAGUUUCCUCCAAAGACUCGCUUUCCUUCACCUACUCAUUACAUGUUAGUGUUCCCCCAAAGUUCCACCUGUUGUCAUCUCGUCUCUAUACUCUAACAUCCUUGGUGAUCCCAUCUACAACUCCUAUGUCAGCUACCAUUGUUGGUGCUAAUGCCGUCUAUGUCCGUGUCCCAACAUCAGAUCUCCAUGAGAUGUUCCAGAAAUACAUAUGCUAUUAUCUUUUGGAUU
RNAcentral lists this long non-coding RNA (976 nucleotides) under Homo sapiens (human). Its description in RNAcentral is "HSALNT0303289". The record is from RNAcentral. Lineage: Eukaryota; Metazoa; Chordata; Mammalia; Primates; Hominidae.